RNAcentral lists this ribosomal RNA (850 nucleotides) under uncultured Flavobacteriaceae bacterium. RNAcentral describes it as "bacterial SSU rRNA". It matches the Rfam family "Bacterial small subunit ribosomal RNA", at positions 45 to 885 of the family's 1533-position model. The record is from RNAcentral. Lineage: Bacteria; Pseudomonadati; Bacteroidota; Flavobacteriia; Flavobacteriales; Flavobacteriaceae.
CGCUUCAUACAUGCAAGUCGAGGGGCAGCAUAAAGUACUUGUACUUUGAUGGCGACCGGCGAACGGGUGCGUAACGCGUAUGCAACUUACCUUUUACUAGAGAAUAGCCAAGAGAAAUUUUGAUUAAUGCUCUAUACUCUUUUUAACUCACAUGAGUUUUUAAGAAAAGCUCCGGCGGUAAAAGAUGGGCAUGCGUCCUAUUAGCUUGUAGGUGAGGUAACGGCUCACCUAAGCUCCGAUAGGUAGGGGUCCUGAGAGGGAGAUCCCCCACACUGGUACUGAGACACGGACCAGACUUCUACGGAAGGCAGCAGUAAGGAAUAUUGGACAAUGGAGGAAACUCUGAUCCAGCGAUGCCGCGUGAAGGAAGACGGCCCUAUGGGUUGUAAACUUCUUUUAUACAGGAAGAAACCUUUCCACGUGUGGAAAGCUGACGGUACUGUAAGAAUAAGGAUCGGCUAACUCCGUGCCAGCAGCCGCGGUAAUACGGAGGAUCCAAGCGUUAUCCGGAAUUAUUGGGUUUAAAGGGUCCGCAGGCUGUUUGUUAAGUCAGGGGUGAAAUCCUACCGCUCAACGGUAGAACUGCCUUUGAUACUGGCAAACUUGAGUUAUUGUGAAGUAGUUAGAAUGUGUAGUGUAGCGGUGAAAUGCAUAGAUAUUACACAGAAUACCAAUUGCGAAGGCAGAUUACUAACAAUUAACUGACGCUGAGGGACGAAAGCGUGGGUAGCGAACAGGAUUAGAUACCCUGGUAGUCCACGCCGUAAACGAUGGUCACUAGCUGUUCGAUGUACAUUGGUACAUUGAGUGGCUAAGCGAAAGUGAUAAGUGACCCACCUGGGGAGUACGC